Non-coding RNA from Mycena latifolia, 95 nucleotides. The record is from the annotation of a GenBank genome assembly. NCBI's taxonomy places the organism in Eukaryota, Fungi, Basidiomycota, Agaricomycetes, Agaricales, Mycenaceae.
GCGGACGUGGUGCACGGUGCACCGUUGCUUUACAUGGGGAUUGAGGUAUAAGCUUAAACAAGCAGCUAGACGGGGUUCGACUCCCCGCGUCCGCA